RNAcentral lists this ribosomal RNA (1021 nucleotides) under Bacillus sp. (in: firmicutes). RNAcentral describes it as "bacterial SSU rRNA". It matches the Rfam family "Bacterial small subunit ribosomal RNA", at positions 42 to 1047 of the family's 1533-position model. The record is from RNAcentral. Lineage: Bacteria; Bacillati; Bacillota; Bacilli; Caryophanales; Bacillaceae.
GCGUGCUAUACAUGCAAGUCGAGCGGACAGAAGGGAGCUUGCUCCCGGAUGUUAGCGGCGGACGGGUGAGUAACACGUGGGUAACCUGCCUGUAAGACUGGGAUAACUCCGGGAAACCGGAGCUAAUACCGGAUAGUUCCUUGAACCGCAUGGUUCAAGGAUGAAAGACGGUUUCGGCUGUCACUUACAGAUGGACCCGCGGCGCAUUAGCUAGUUGGUGGGGUAAUGGCUCACCAAGGCGACGAUGCGUAGCCGACCUGAGAGGGUGAUCGGCCACACUGGGACUGAGACACGGCCCAGACUCCUACGGGAGGCAGCAGUAGGGAAUCUUCCGCAAUGGACGAAAGUCUGACGGAGCAACGCCGCGUGAGUGAUGAAGGUUUUCGGAUCGUAAAGCUCUGUUGUUAGGGAAGAACAAGUGCGAGAGUAACUGCUCGCACCUUGACGGUACCUAACCAGAAAGCCACGGCUAACUACGUGCCAGCAGCCGCGGUAAUACGUAGGUGGCAAGCGUUGUCCGGAAUUAUUGGGCGUAAAGGGCUCGCAGGCGGUUUCUUAAGUCUGAUGUGAAAGCCCCCGGCUCAACCGGGGAGGGUCAUUGGAAACUGGGAAACUUGAGUGCAGAAGAGGAGAGUGGAAUUCCACGUGUAGCGGUGAAAUGCGUAGAGAUGUGGAGGAACACCAGUGGCGAAGGCGACUCUCUGGUCUGUAACUGACGCUGAGGAGCGAAAGCGUGGGGAGCGAACAGGAUUAGAUACCCUGGUAGUCCACGCCGUAAACGAUGAGUGCUAAGUGUUAGGGGGUUUCCGCCCCUUAGUGCUGCAGCUAACGCAUUAAGCACUCCGCCUGGGGAGUACGGUCGCAAGACUGAAACUCAAAGGAAUUGACGGGGGCCCGCACAAGCGGUGGAGCAUGUGGUUUAAUUCGAAGCAACGCGAAGAACCUUACCAGGUCUUGACAUCCUCUGACAACCCUAGAGAUAGGGCUUUCCCUUCGGGGACAGAGUGACAGGUGGUGCAUG